This 467-nucleotide ribosomal RNA is filed under the name uncultured bacterium. RNAcentral describes it as "partial 16S ribosomal RNA". It matches the Rfam family "Bacterial small subunit ribosomal RNA", at positions 28 to 507 of the family's 1533-position model. The record is from RNAcentral.
GACGAACGCUGGCGGCGUGCUUAACACAUGCAAGUCGAACGGAAAGGCCCUGCUUUUGUGGGGUGCUCGAGUGGCGAACGGGUGAGUAACACGUGAGUAACCUGCCCUUGACUUUGGGAUAACUUCAGGAAACUGGGGCUAAUACCGGAUAGGAGCUCCUGCUGCAUGGUGGGGGUUGGAAAGUUUCGGCGGUUGGGGAUGGACUCGCGGCUUAUCAGCUUGUUGGUGGGGUAGUGGCUUACCAAGGCUUUGACGGGUAGCCGGCCUGAGAGGGUGACCGGCCACAUGGGGACUGAGAUACGGCCCAGACUCCUACGGGAGGCAGCAGUGGGGAAUAUUGCACAAGGGGCGGAAGCCUGAUGCAGCAACGCCGCGUGCGGGAGGACGGCCUUCGGGUGGUAAACCGCUUUCGCCUGUGACGAAGCGUGAGUGACGGUAAUGGGUAAAGAAGCACCGGCUACUACGUG